Diceros bicornis minor is the source of this 5457-nucleotide long non-coding RNA. RefSeq lists it as uncharacterized. The record is from RefSeq and is a predicted model, not a curated record. NCBI's taxonomy places the organism in Eukaryota, Metazoa, Chordata, Mammalia, Perissodactyla, Rhinocerotidae. The transcript is spliced from 3 exons.
AAAUGUUUUUCUUUACCUUUGAAUAAUCUGCCUAGAAGGAAGAGAUUCUGUGUUUUAUCAGAAUAAUAUGUGUGAUUUAUGUUGACUUUAUAAUGUUCAUUAUUUAAGAGAACAAAGUCUUCUCACUUUUUGAAAGAGCUAAGGUUCCUUACAAUUAUGUUACCUCUUAUGUUUACUUUUAAAAUCUUUUGUCACUUUGAAUAAAUAGAUAGCAAGGUACUGUUUUUCAGUAAUCCAUGAUUAUAGUAGGGUCAUUUAAUGAAGUGUUCAAAUCUGACAACUUUUGACUUUUUGCCUUCCCAAAUUCAAAUCCUAAAUGAUAUCUUUUACAUCUAAAACUUUCUUUGAAAUUUCUCAGAGGGCCCCUAUAAAAUCAUGAAGGAUUUGUUCUUUCACCUUGUAAAAUGAGAGGAGCUAGAAAUCAUUAGAUUUCUUUCACACAUUGUCAGUUGCAUGAAAAGCAUUGUCAAAUCAGAAGAUAUGCUAGGUUAAAUUUGCAUGGGUAAAAUUUUAUUGAAAUAAAUACCUCACAAAUUUAUGACAUUCCUGAAUAUUUAUCAAUGGCCCAUGAUUUGUUUCUGUUUAGGAGAAACCUAGUGUUGCUUUCCCUGAUAGACCAAAACAGGAUACUGCUAUCAGUCAUAAUUUGGCUUAUUUUUAAAAAUGCUAUCUUGCUCACAACGUUACUUCUUUAAUUUGAAUUUAGUAUAUUCUACAGUGUUGUUUUCAAUUGGGGAGGUGGCGAGGUUCUCUGGUAUUUUUUAUUCUAAGGAUAUUAAUCCUAUAGGAUCAGGGUCUUGCCCUUAUAACCUCAUAUAACCCUAAUUUCUUGCUCCAUCUCCAAAUACAGCCACACUGGGGGUUAGAACUUCAGUGUAUGAGUUUUUCAGGGUAUACAAACAUUCAGUCCAGUGGGUUCAUGAGACUACUGACCCAACAUUGAGUUGAACAAGAACUAAUUACAUAGAAAUAAAUGAAAUGGAGUGAUAAUUGUAGGAAUUGCUGGUGUUUUAAUGUUUUACUCUCUGGAUAUGAGGAACCCAUUUCUCUUAUCUCUUAAACUCUCUAAAAUUCAUAGCAGUUAAUAGACUAUGCUUUUGCAAACAGAAAUGAAACAGUCUUUUUCUCCCUACCUGAGACCUCUAGAAUCUGGAAACGCUUAAAUUUAAAAAAAUUUUUUUCAAAGCAAUGUAGUUUGAAUGAUUUUAGUAAGAAUAUAUCCUCCUUGUUAACAGGACAUAAUUGGAAACCUUGGUUCUGCAGCCAAGGUCUUGCCUGGAAUGUCAUUUUUGAGAAUGAUGCUCAUUUAAUCAGACAUGAUAAGACACAUUUAAGCAAGCAAAAUUUACUUUACAGAGCCAGUGCUUGCAAAGUUCUCAUGAGGAAAUUGACCUGGUACCUGGCUUACAGGAACUUGAGGAUAUUCGGGGGAUCCUGACAAAAGAGAUGCCUCCCUUGGACUUCAGGAUCUGGAAGGGGUUUCUGAUGGAAAAGAUGGAGAAGCAUUAGGGUGAGGCUUAGAUUAGAGCCAGCUCCUUAGCAGCCCCUGUGAUCCCUUUCCUAUGGCCCCUGGUCGUACUUAGCCCUGCUACAUAGUAGAGACUGGCAGCAAACAUGCCUUCAUUUGGCAUCAGGGGCUGAACUGCCCCUUUAUUUUUAUCAUCAGUGACUCGAGGUAUCUUCAGAAGGAGGCUGACCAGGAAAGAAGAAAAAGGGUGAAGACAACAAGCAAACCAAGAGGACACGUCACAUGUGAGACAUUCUCUCUGGUGCCCCAGCUUUAUUUGUCUAAUGGGCUAGAGUGCCCAUGGUGGGAGGAGAAGGACAGGGUAAGAAGGAGAUCCAGAGAAGUAUUUAGUUUUUGUUGACAUUGUCAUUGUCGUGUUGCAUAGAUUCUGUUCUUUUUACCUCUGGCUUGAUCUGGCCUUGGAAACAUAGCUUAUAUUAAAAUAAUUCUGUUCAAAUGAAGGAUGGCUAAGAGUAUUGCCAGUGAGAAAUUUCAUCACUUCAUUUCAUAUUUUUGUGAAAAUAUAUAUUUCCCAAAUAAAUGACAAGUUGAAGCUAGAAAAACAAAUAUCUAGGAUGAAAACUUUAACUUUGCAUUAAGACUGUGAAAAUGUGUUUUUCUCCCCUGAAAUGGUUUUCACAGCUCAUGUCAUUGACUUAAAUCUCUUUCUCUGUGAGUUAGAAAUAUUAAAACUGUUGACAUACAACUAAACAAUAUCUGUAUUUGUACCUUAACCAAUUUCUUACAUUUGCUUGCUUGACAGUUACCAUUUACUGUGACUGAAUGCCAUUUCCUUAAUAAAAAUGCGCUUACCUUUUUUUGACAGAUGUCAACUCCAUGUACUUUAAUGAUUUUAACCAAACUCUCAAACAAGUUUUUCACUUAUUUAAAAUGGACUAUAAUGUGAAGCCAACUUAGUUGUGAACUUGAAUAUUGUGUGGUAUAUAUUUGGAGAUAUUUUAAUGGUUUUAAUAAAAACUUUACCUGUUAGAGUGAAGUGACUGUGACAUUACUAUUGACCAGUUAAACUGAGCUCUAUUUUAGUGUCCAUUAAAAGCUUCUUUUUAUUUCAUUUUUUCACUUCAAAUUAUUUUUUCCCCAGAGGAAUUUCAUAUGAUAGAAUUUUAAUGUUUUCAAUUUAAGAUUGUUAUACAAUGAUAUACAAUUGGUUGUGCAGCUUCUGUGUAACUACAGUAGUAUAGAAUCCAUCUCUUCCCUUUUUAGCCAUUCUGAUUUUCUGUCUGUGGAGUCUUUGCUGAUAUUUGAGAGAAUAUAACAGCCUCAGUUAAUUUGACAGAGUAGAGAUAGUUUAUAACUAUUAGACAAAAAAGAGGGAGCCUGGGAAACUUCUACUGAACACUGUCAUACAGCGAGUAUUACUGUGCCAUAAACAGAGAUUUAGACUAAUGAUUAGCCAUUAGAGCAACAGUGACUAUUGGUUUUCCAUUGCUGUCUUAACAAAUUAUCACAAAUUUGGUGGCUUAUGUUAUGCUCAUUUAUUAUCUCAUAGUUCUGUAGGUCAGAAGUCUGACAAGGAUCUACCAGCCUAAAAUCGAAGUAUUGGCAGGGCUGCUUUCCUUUUUGGAGGUUCUAGGGGAGAAUGUGUUUUAUUGUUCAUUCAAGUUGUUGAUAGAAUUUAGUUGUUUGCAGUUGUAGCACUGAGGUCUUCCUUUCCUUGCUGGCUGUCAGCCAAGGGCCAUUCCCAGCUGCUAGAGGCCGUCAGCAUUCCUUGGCUCAUGGCUACUGUCCUCCCUCUUUAAAGCCAGCAGUAGCACUUCGCAUUUCUCCUGUCUCUUCUUCCACUUCAUCUCUGACUUUUCUGCCUUUCUCUUCCAUUUUGAAAGGCUCAUGUGAUUACAUUGGGCCUGCUCAUGUAAUCCAGGUUAAUCUCCCUAUUUUAAGGUCCACAACCUUAAUCCUAUCUGCAAAAUCCCUUUUGACAUAUAAUGCAACAUAUUCACAGGUUCCACGGAUUAGGGUGUGGGAGGGUAGGCAUUAUUCUGCUACCACAGUGACCAACGGACUUUGGACUAUUGAACUGCAACUAGGUUAGGGAAUGAACUGAAGCUCAUGUCUCAUGUUAGAGAGUUCCAGAGCCCUCUAUGGAUUCAUAUCAGCUAUACAGGAAGAAAACUAACUUUACUUUCUUGGCUAAAAGCCAAGAACUGAAAUAAGCUUCAUGUCAAAACUGGAAUUCAGCUCCUGCCCGCUAUCGUAGUAAGGGAGAGCCAGAACGGUGGUUGCUCACACGUGAAGGACUUUUACAUGUUUGAAUUGGUUUUUUGAGUAGGGUAUCAUUGUGCUAGAGAGUGGGUUAGUGCAGUUGAACACCUUAUUGGUCUGAUAUAUAUUUCAGCAUUUAUGUCACAUCUUAAGUUGGACUCCGGAAAAUCUAUUAUCAAAAUAUAUGACAGUAACAUGAAAAGAUAGUUUCCUUAACAAUUUCUAUAAAUGCAUUGUCUGCAGCAGGUUACAUUAACGGUAGAGGAUAAGAAGUUGUAGAUUUUUUUGGUUGAUUAAACCAAAAAAAUAUUGAAAUUUUGGAGAAGAAAUACUCUCUUCCUCUGCCCUGUACUUUCUACCCUCACAUAUAUAACAGUAUUUGUAUAUACAGUGGUUGAGUAGUAAGGUUGGGGAUAUGUCCUUAGAAAAGAAGUAUUGGCGAAAUAUUUGGUUUGUUUGAACAGUGUACCAACUGAUUAUAGAUGAUAGCGAGAAUCCUGCCAAUACAAUAUUUUUGUGGGAAGAAGUUGGGCAGAAAUUGUAACUUUGGAGUUAAUUGAAAUUGUUCUGUGGUAAAGGAAUUUAAGUAAAUAAGGAAGGGAAUUUCCUAACUGCACAAAAGUUCUUAUUCUUGUUGUAUAACAACAACAACAAAAAUGAAAUCCACUUAUUCAAGAAAAUUUGCUCUAAUAGAUAAAUUAUUUCAAAAGCAUUAAGUACACUUCUCAGCACUAGUUUUUCUGUUACAAAUAAUCAGUCUUUUACAUCAGAGUGAUACAUUAAAAUGAAGCACAUUAGACCUAUUAAAACAACCAUUUACUAAAAUACCCUUAAAAUUAGUUUAAAAAUUGAGUAAUUAGGCCCAUGCUGAGAUAACAUUACAUUUGCAUGUAUUGCCUUCAGCUUAUGGCCCAGUAUUUUUUUCAUUAGCUGUUAUGUGUAAAUUGGCUGUUAAAGAAUGCUUUAUGUUUUCAGUUAUGUUUUAAUAAAAUAAAAGAGGAUAUUAUUACCUCCUCAGACUGUAAAGAAUAGUAUUUCUAGGCUAACAAAAUGAAUUUCUUGUACUUCAAUCGAUGUUUGGCAGGUGAAAUCAUAUACAAAAACAACCUUCUCUGAGAUGAUGUGUAUAUCACAUGAUGCGAAUGUAAAUAAGUAGAAGACUCCUUUUAAAAGAAGGGAUAGACAAAUUCUUAAUAUGGCACAUGAAUAUUGAACCUAAUUGGGUAUCUGUUGAAACUGUUUUGUGGUGGUUAAAUAUGUUUUAGUCACGUAGAAAUAGAAAACUAUUAGCGGGCCCUUUGCAGCUGAUUACACCUUGUAGCAAAACCUUGAGCCCCAUAAAGAUCAGAGGGCAGAGAGAAGAUUCUUUUGUGACACAGGAUCAAAAUAGGGGAUUAAAAAAACUAGUUGGGCCACCUUUCAGCCUACACACACUCCAUUAACAGCAUUUCCAGAAUUACUAGGCUAUUUGUACCCCAGCAUUGCCAUAACUCUCUACAGGGGAGGAAGGAUAACACAAUGAUCAACAUUACCUAGCUUCAGACCUUUACUUAUCACUGAAUAUCUGUGUGACCUGAGCAAGUUCCUUAAAUCCUCUAAACCUCCGUUCUACCAUCUGUAAAAUAGGGCAGAUGAUAGUUCCUACUUCAUAGGAUGGUAUAAGAAUUAAAUGAGCUAGCAUGCAUAAAACAACUAACGUGGUGCACAAAACUUCAUGAACACCCAGU